RNAcentral lists this ribosomal RNA (169 nucleotides) under uncultured bacterium. RNAcentral's name for it is "partial 16S ribosomal RNA". It matches the Rfam family "Bacterial small subunit ribosomal RNA", at positions 338 to 503 of the family's 1533-position model. The record is from RNAcentral.
CCUUCGGGGGGCCGCCGGGAGGAAUAUUGCGCAAUGGACGAAAGUCUGACGCAGCCAUGCCGCGUGCAGGAUGACGGCGCUACGCGUGUGUAAACUGCUUUUAUUUACAAAGAAACCUCGGGACGUGUCCCGAGCUGACGGUAGUAUUUGAAUAAGCACCGGCUAACUC